This 266-nucleotide unclassified non-coding RNA is filed under the name Hevea brasiliensis (rubber tree). The record is from RNAcentral. Lineage: Eukaryota; Viridiplantae; Streptophyta; Magnoliopsida; Malpighiales; Euphorbiaceae.
GUAUGACAUGUAAUGGGAUUGGAUUCAGUUAUUCAACUAAUAUAGAUCUUCUUAAGGGUACAAAUGAUAUACAAAGUUUCCAUGUCACAACAUUUCUGAAAUACUGACAAUAUAAUUUUGCCAUACAAUCCUGGAUAUUACCUAAAAAAAGAAAAAUAAAAGAAAGAACUAAUGCAGAAAAGUCUAAAAAAGAAAAAGAGAACUUGUAAUUGUUGUGAAAGCAUUCAUUUUAUAUAGCUCUCUCAAGAGCUCCUGCUGAACUGGUA